Psammomys obesus (fat sand rat) is the source of this 304-nucleotide long non-coding RNA. RefSeq lists it as uncharacterized. The transcript is spliced from 3 exons. Lineage: Eukaryota; Metazoa; Chordata; Mammalia; Rodentia; Muridae. The record is from RefSeq and is a predicted model, not a curated record.
GCAAGGGACAUUGGCUGUGCAGUGUGACAAAGUCAGCGCUGUUACAAGAGAAAGGUCUGUCCAACCCAGCAAUCCAAGACUUCAGGAAAGAGAGCUGGAGCCUGAGCUUGGAAGACACACUACUGCCACAGUGUUCCAGCUGAAGUGGUCCCUGGCCUCGUAGCUUCAGGGGAAGCAAGGGUGGGAUGAUUGCUUAUCUUGUCUGGGCUUGAACAAGAGAAAACCAUCAGCAAGGCUCUUGUUGAAAAAAAAAAACUCAUCUUUUUGCUGGUGCCUCCCUGCAAGAAGUAAUUAGCCCUGGCUG